CCCAAGUCGUGACCUAAAGUCACAUAACCCCCAUCACCCCCAAUUUCGAAACCUAGCUUCUCUCGCUCUCUUCUCUCAGUCUCGCCCUCGCAGAGUCGCAAUCUUACAGUCGCUCUCUGCUGCUCUUAGUCUUGCCCUCGCAGUCGCUCUCUGCUGCUCUCAAUCUCGCCCUCGCAGUCGCAAAGUCGCAAUCCCACCAGCCACCAACACCCGAAGCCUUCUUCCCAGUUCCCAGCGAGCACCAACCCAGCAGGCAGCAGCGUUCUCUUCCCAGCAACGCCCAGCGUCGCCAGCGAGCACCGACCCACCGACCCAGGAAUGUUCUUCCCAGCAGCGCCGAGCCACCGACCUCAGUUUCCACCGAGCCUCCAUCGUCUUCUGUAAUGGAGGCUAAGCGGCUAUGCCUCAUGUUUGGGAAAUUGCUUCUGAUUGCUGGAUCACUGGUUCAGUGAGUUUCUCUCCAUGCAUCAAUCCUAGACCACAUGUUUCACUGGUUCAGUUCAUAUUGUAGGUUCAUAUUUGUUCACUAGUUUGAAAUUGAUAUAAAGCAAAUCAUGAAUAGUGGUUCUUGCUACAGGAGUCAGGUUUGGUCAUAGUAUGAGGGAUAAUAUUGGUGAAAGUGAAGGUGGAACUGAUGGAGUGGUGGACAUGUAAUGCUCCUCCAAACAAAUCUGCAAAUAUAAGAUCACCAACAAAAUGAUUGAUUGAAUCAUUUUUUUUCACUAAUCUAGUUUUUUUUAUAAAUAUUAUUUGUUAUGAUUGUUCCUUGUUUUAUAGAAGUUGCAUCCACUCCUAUCCUUUUUUAUAUGUUUUAUAUGAUUCUUUUUUUUUUAAUUUUUUAUCAUUGUGAAUUUAUGAUGAGCUAUGUGCUCAUAUUGUUCAUUGUUUUUGUCUGAAUUAAUUAAAAACACGAACAAACCGAACCAAACCGAACCGAUUUUACUUGGUUUAGUUUGGUUUGGAUGGUCUUGGAAAAAAACUGAACAAAAUCGAACUGCAGUUUUAAUAAA
Arachis ipaensis is the source of this 1010-nucleotide non-coding RNA. The record is from RefSeq and is a predicted model, not a curated record. NCBI's taxonomy places the organism in Eukaryota, Viridiplantae, Streptophyta, Magnoliopsida, Fabales, Fabaceae.